UGUUCCAUGCUUGUGUCAAAAAACUGAAUUGAGGUGGUCGUUGCAUUUACAAAAAAACAUGUUUUAACAGAAUAAUUUUAUGUUUCAAAGGCAAAGGUUAUAAAAUUAGGUCAGAUAAACAGAUAAUUUAACAACCUAACGUUGAGACAAGACGAUUCAAUUUAGUCAGUGAUCUCCCGCCAAAGAGGGUCUAGCGAGAUCAGGAGAUCACGCGAGAUGCUAGCGAGAUUACAUUAAACUACAGAUGUUUGUGCAAAUCUAGGAACGUGCACUCUAAAAGGCAAUACCUAUUUUUAAAUUAUGUUUGUAGGCGUCGUCUUGAUGCAUAUUGACGCGCUUCACCCCGACCCCAAGACUAGAAAGUGGGACCUGUCAUGUUGCAUUCAAGGUUGAAGAGGAGUCACUGACAAUGCAUUUCAAAGAUUCUGGUCCAGUUUGACAGAAAGACCAAAGAUGUUGUUGCCAUAAGGACUGCUACCCUGGGAUGUCUCUCAGUUUUCCUCAACAACGAUGGAGGAGAGUUCUACAAUGUCUCUUGAUUCAGAUGCCAUGGCAGACUUCAUCAAGGUUCCUGUGGGGUUAUUGACUGAUAUGUUAUGCUAAGUAUAUCAUUUUGUUAAAAUAAAGCGUUGAAUCUUGUAAAUUUAAAAUCUGUGCCUGUGGUAGGCUGAACAAUUUUAAAUUUAUUGUUACUAAUUAAACACUGACAUAAAAGGUUUUGUUUAAACUAUUAAGUGAAACUAGCUUAAAUGGAUGUUCAAAUGGGUUGUCAUCUGGCAAGAGUUUAUACCCUUUGUAGUAAAGUGCCUGCACUGCACAUGGUAAAGAAAAUGGAUAACAACUUUGAAAAUACAGUUCUGCUGUACCCUU
This is a long non-coding RNA of Poecilia reticulata (guppy), 870 nucleotides long. RefSeq lists it as uncharacterized. Lineage: Eukaryota; Metazoa; Chordata; Actinopteri; Cyprinodontiformes; Poeciliidae. The record is from RefSeq and is a predicted model, not a curated record.